This 292-nucleotide ribosomal RNA is filed under the name uncultured bacterium. Its description in RNAcentral is "partial 16S ribosomal RNA". It matches the Rfam family "Bacterial small subunit ribosomal RNA", at positions 505 to 796 of the family's 1533-position model. The record is from RNAcentral.
GUGCCAGCCGCCGCGGUAACACGUAAGAGGCAAGCGUUGUCCGGAAUCACUGGGCGUAAAGGGUACGCAGGCGGUCUAGCAAGUCAGAGGUGAAAGCCACCGGCUUAACUGGUGAAGUGCCUUUGAAACUGUUGGACUUGAGGACAGGAGAGGAAAGCGGAAUUCUCGGUGUAGUGGUGAAAUACGUAGAGAUCGGGAAGAAUACCAAUGGUGAAAACAGCUUUCUGGCCUGAUCCUGACGCUGAGGUACGAAAGCCAGGGUAGCAAACGGGAUUAGAUACCCCGGUAGUCC